GCCUGGUUGGCUCAGUCAGUAGAGCAUGCAACUCUCAAUCUCAGGGUCAUGAGUUCAAGCCCCAUGUUGGGCA
RNAcentral lists this transfer RNA (73 nucleotides) under Canis lupus familiaris (dog). It matches the Rfam family "tRNA". Rfam says of the family: Transfer RNA (tRNA) molecules are approximately 80 nucleotides in length. Their secondary structure includes four short double-helical elements and three loops (D, anti-codon, and T loops). The record is from Rfam by way of RNAcentral. Lineage: Eukaryota; Metazoa; Chordata; Mammalia; Carnivora; Canidae. RNAcentral also lists the same sequence under 2 other names.